This 464-nucleotide ribosomal RNA is filed under the name uncultured bacterium. RNAcentral's name for it is "bacterial SSU rRNA". It matches the Rfam family "Bacterial small subunit ribosomal RNA", at positions 330 to 792 of the family's 1533-position model. The record is from RNAcentral.
GCCAGACUCCUACGGGAGGCAGCAGUGAGGAAUAUUGGUCAAUGGCCAAGAGGCUGAACCAGCCAAGUCGCGUGAGGGAUGACGGCCCUACGGGUUGUAAACCUCUUUUGUCGGGGAGCAAAGAGAGUCACAUGUGGCUCAUUGAGAGUACCCGAAGAAAAAGCAUCGGCUAACUCCGUGCCAGCAGCCGCGGUAAUACGGAGGAUGCGAGCGUUAUCCGGAUUUAUUGGGUUUAAAGGGUGCGCAGGCGGUGUGAAAGCCGGGCGAAAAAACCGGGGCGCCCCCCCCGGGCCCGCCGUUGAAACUGGCAGUCUCGAGUUGGAGAGAAGUAUGCGGAAUGCGCGGUGUAGCGGUGAAAUGCAUAGAUAUCGCGCAGAACUCCGAUUGCGAAGGCAGCAUGCCGGCUCCACACUGACGCUGAGGCACGAAAGCGCGGGUAUCGAACAGGAUUAGAUACCCCUGUA